UAAGGGCGCACGGUGGAUGCCUUGGCACUAGAAGCCGAUGAAGGACGUUACUAACGACGAUAUGCUUUGGGGAGCUGUAAGUAAGCUUUGAUCCAGAGAUUUCCGAAUGGGGAAACCCAGCAUGAGUUAUGUCAUGUUAUCGAUAUGUGAAUACAUAGCAUAUCAGAAGGCACACCCGGAGAACUGAAACAUCUUAGUACCCGGAGGAAGAGAAAGAAAAUUCGAUUCCCUUAGUAGCGGCGAGCGAAACGGGAAGAGCCCAAACCAACAAGCUUGCUUGUUGGGGUUGUAGGACACUCUAUACGGAGUUACAAAGGACGACAUUAGACGAAUCAUCUGGAAAGAUGAAUCAAAGAAGGUAAUAAUCCUGUAGUCGAAAAUGUUGUCUCUCUUGAGUGGAUCCUGAGUACGACGGAGCACGUGAAAUUCCGUCGGAAUCUGGGAGGACCAUCUCCUAAGGCUAAAUACUCUCUAGUGACCGAUAGUGAACCAGUACCGUGAGGGAAAGGUGAAAAGCACCCCGGAAGGGGAGUGAAAUAGAACCUGAAACCGUGUGCUUACAAGUAGUCAGAGCCCGUUAAUGGGUGAUGGCGUGCCUUUUGUAGAAUGAACCGGCGAGUUACGAUUUGAUGCAAGGUUAAGCAGUAAAUGUGGAGCCGUAGCGAAAGCGAGUCUGAAUAGGGCGUUUAGUAUUUGGUCGUAGACCCGAAACCAGGUGAUC
Molecule: ribosomal RNA, 721 nt
Filed under: Staphylococcus aureus
Lineage: Bacteria; Bacillati; Bacillota; Bacilli; Caryophanales; Staphylococcaceae
Description: partial 23S ribosomal RNA
Rfam family: Bacterial large subunit ribosomal RNA
Source: RNAcentral